GACCGGGACCUGGGUCGGGGAACCCCCGGAUGGGAGCCCAGGCGCGCCAGGGUCCCCAUCCACGAGCAGGUCGACCCCCCGCGAGAGGGGUGAGGGGCAGGACCAGGGGAGGGGGCUGUGACCGGGGAUGGGGACGCCGGUGGGACGCAAUCCGGGCGUCGGCGGGGUAGGGGCAGCGCCCGGGACUCCCAGACCCAGGGCGGGGUGACCUCGGUUCGCGCACAUUCCCGGGCCCUGAGCGCGGCGCCCGGAAUAGCAGCCCCGGGGCAGAGGAGGGCGGUCAGUCCCCGCGCCGCGCCCCCGCCCGAGCCUGCCAAGGUCACCCGGACCCGGGCGCCCGACACCAGCCUGCGGCUCCGGGACCCCUGCGCUCGCGUCCGCCGGGCAGUCCCCUGCCGCAGAUCCGCGCCCGCCGCGCGAGGGCGCCCGGGGCCGCCGCCCCUCCUGACCCGGGCCUGGGCGCGCCUGCGGAGGCCGCGGUGGGAGGGACCGUCCCAGGCUCCCCACCCCGCCCAGCACCUUGGGCCCCGCCGCUUCCGCUCGCCCUGGGGCCGCUCAGGGAGCCGGGACGCGCUGCCUGGGCUCCGCGCAGCCGGCCCCACCUCUUCCAGAACCUCCUGCUCUUCCUGUGGGCCCUGCUGAACUGUGGUUUGGGGGUCAGUGCUCAGGGUCCGGGCGAGUGGACCCCGUGGGUGUCCUGGACCCGCUGCUCCAGCUCCUGCGGGCGUGGCGUCUCUGUGCGCAGCCGGCGCUGCCUCCGGCUUCCUGGGGAAGAACCGUGCUGGGGAGACUCCCAUGAGUACCGCCUCUGCCAGUUGCCAGACUGCCCCCCAGGGGCUGUGCCCUUCCGAGACCUACAGUGUGCCCUGUACAAUGGCCGCCCUGUCCUGGGCACCCAGAAGACCUACCAGUGGGUGCCCUUCCAUGGGG
RNAcentral lists this long non-coding RNA (930 nucleotides) under Homo sapiens (human). RNAcentral describes it as "non-protein coding lnc-ADAMTSL5-1:2". Lineage: Eukaryota; Metazoa; Chordata; Mammalia; Primates; Hominidae. The record is from RNAcentral.